Molecule: ribosomal RNA, 1639 nt
Filed under: Enterobacter hormaechei
Lineage: Bacteria; Pseudomonadati; Pseudomonadota; Gammaproteobacteria; Enterobacterales; Enterobacteriaceae
Description: partial 23S ribosomal RNA
Rfam family: Bacterial large subunit ribosomal RNA
Source: RNAcentral
GGUUAAGCGACUAAGCGUACACGGUGGAUGCCCUGGCAGUCAGAGGCGAUGAAGGACGUGCUAAUCUGCGAAAAGCGCCGGCGAGGUGAUAUGAACCCUUGACCCGGCGAUGUCCGAAUGGGGAAACCCAGUGCAAUCCGUUGCACUAUCGUUAACUGAAUACAUAGGUUAACGAGGCGAACCGGGGGAACUGAAACAUCUAAGUACCCCGAGGAAAAGAAAUCAACCGAGAUUCCCCCAGUAGCGGCGAGCGAACGGGGAGCAGCCCGGAGUCUGAAUCAGCUUGUGUGUUAGUGGAACGGUCUGGAAAGUCCGACGGUACAGGGUGAUAGUCCCGUACACGAAAGCACACUUGCUGUGAACUCGAAGAGUAGGGCGGGACACGUGGUAUCCUGUCUGAAUAUGGGGGGACCAUCCUCCAAGGCUAAAUACUCCUGACUGACCGAUAGUGAACCAGUACCGUGAGGGAAAGGCGAAAAGAACCCCGGCGAGGGGAGUGAAAAAGAACCUGAAACCGUGUACGUACAAGCAGUGGGAGCCUCUUUAUGGGGUGACUGCGUACCUUUUGUAUAAUGGGUCAGCGACUUAUAUUCUGUAGCAAGGUUAACCGUAUAGGGGAGCCGAAGGGAAACCGAGUCUUAACUGGGCGUUAAGUUGCAGGGUAUAGACCCGAAACCCGGUGAUCUAGCCAUGGGCAGGUUGAAGGUUGGGUAACACUAACUGGAGGACCGAACCGACUAAUGUUGAAAAAUUAGCGGAUGACCUGUGGCUGGGGGUGAAAGGCCAAUCAAACCGGGAGAUAGCUGGUUCUCCCCGAAAGCUAUUUAGGUAGCGCCUCGUGAACUCAUCUUCGGGGGUAGAGCACUGUUUCGGCUAGGGGGCCAUCCCGGCUUACCAACCCGAUGCAAACUACGAAUACCGAAGAAUGUUAUCACGGGAGACACACGGCGGGUGCUAACGUCCGUCGUGAAGAGGGAAACAACCCAGACCGCCAGCUAAGGUCCCAAAGUCAUGGUUAAGUGGGAAACGAUGUGGGAAGGCACAGACAGCCAGGAUGUUGGCUUAGAAGCAGCCAUCAUUUAAAGAAAGCGUAAUAGCUCACUGGUCGAGUCGGCCUGCGCGGAAGAUGUAACGGGGCUAAACCAUGCACCGAAUGCUGGAGGUAUCAGAAGUGCGAAUGCUGACAUAAGUAACGAUAAAGCGGGUGAAAAGCCCGCUCGCCGGAAGACCAAGGGUUCCUGUCCAACGUUAAUCGGGGCAGGGUGAGUCGACCCCUAAGGCGAGGCCGAAAGGCGUAGUCGAUGGGAAACAGGUUAAUAUUCCUGUACUUGGUGUUACUGCGAAGGGGGGACGGAGAAGGCUAUGUCAGCCGGGCGACGGUUGUCCCGGUUUAAGCAUGUAGGCGGAGGUUCCAGGUAAAUCCGGUACCUUAUUAACGCUGAGGUGUGAUGACGAGGCACUACGGUGCUGAAGUGAUAAAUGCCCUGCUUCCAGGAAAAGCCUCUAAGCAUCAGGUAACACGAAAUCGUACCCCAAACCGACACAGGUGGUCAGGUAGAGAAUACCAAGGCGCUUGAGAGAACUCGGGUGAAGGAACUAGGCAAAAUGGUGCCGUAACUUCGGGAGAAGGCACGCUGAU